This is an RNA transcript of Carlito syrichta (Philippine tarsier), 1060 nucleotides long. It is a transcript of the gene named actin-related protein 2/3 complex subunit 5-like protein pseudogene, with no coding region annotated. Lineage: Eukaryota; Metazoa; Chordata; Mammalia; Primates; Tarsiidae. The transcript has a single exon. The record is from RefSeq and is a predicted model, not a curated record.
AGGAGGUCCUGGAGGCCAGGCGGACGCUUCCCGCACUCGAGCUGGUGCUGGUGCCAUGUGGAGCGGAGCCGAGAUUGGCCGGCAGCGAAGCCAGCUGAGCGGGCGCCGAGCUCCCGCCAUGGCCCAGAAUACGCUGUCCUCACGUUUCCGCCGGUUGGACAUCAACGAAUUUGACAAGAACAAAUUUGUGGAUGAGCAGGAGGAGGCGGCGGUGGCAGCAGCAGAGCCAGACCAGGACCCUAGUGAGGUGGACAGGCUCCUGCGGCAGGGGGACGUGCUUCAGGCGUUCCAUGCAGCCUUGCAGAACUCUCCCGUCAACACCAAGAAUCAAGCCGUGAAGGAGCGAGCCCAGGGCAUGGUGCUGAAAGUGCUCACCAAUUUUAAGAGCAGUGAAAUUGAGCAGGCUGUGCAGUCACUGGACAGAAACGGCGUUGACUUGUUACUGAAGUACAUUUAUAAAGGGUUUGAGAAGCCCACAGAAAAUAGCAGUGCAGUGUUACUUCAAUGGCAUGAAAAGGCCUUAGCAGUAGGAGGACUAGCCUCCAUUAUAAGAGUUCUUACAGCAAGAAAGACUGUUUAAAAAAAAAAAAGACUCAUGUUACCUUGAGAAGAAUUGUGGAUGCCCAGGCUGGUGAAGAAGGGAUUGACAAUGGACCAUCCUUCUAGGAACUCCCAACUAAACUAUUUUAGGACAUGUAUCUGCUGAAAUGUAUUUUAUUUUCAGGGUGGAGGGAGAAAUUGUCUUACUGUUUCCUAAAUCCUUUGCAGGAUCUGAUAGUCUAUGCCUUUGUCUACAAGUAAUGCAGAACUGACAUUCUGUCUACUAGAGUGGCUGGCCAGUGUUGGUCAGGUGUACCUAUGUGCACCGGGGGAGGGAUGAUUCAGGCAGGUGCAGAUCCAAGGGCUGUGGUUAAAGGGAGAGUUUGUGUUUUUUGAAGUGGAAAAGACCCAAGAGUUUGUACAGACAUCCUGUCUUCCCAGAGAAGGCAGACACUCUUGGAGUCCUUGUAAAGUGCCUGCUGCAUCAAUAAAGCUCUUGGCUUAUUAGUAAAAAAAAAAA